GAGUUUGAUCAUGGCUCAGAACGUACGCUGGCGGCACGCCUAACACAUGCAAGUCGAACGAAGUAGCAAUACUUAGUGGCAGACGGGUGAGUAACAUGUAGGUAUCUGCCCUUUGGCCUGGAAUAACACGAGGAAACUUGUGCUAAUACCGGAUAAGUCUUUACGGAGAAAGCUUUAUGCACCAUUGGAUGAGCCUGCACUUGAUUAGUUUGUUGGUGGGGUAAUGGCCUACCAAGACUGUGAUCAAUAGCUGAUUUGAGAGGAUGAUCAGCCACAUUGGGACUGAGACACGGCCCAAACUCCUACGGGAGGCAGCAGUGGGGAAUCUUGCACAAUGGAGGAAACUCCGAUGCAGCGAUGCCGCGUGAGUGAAGAAGGCCUUUGGGUUGUAAAGCUCUUUCGUCGGGGAAGAAAAUGACUGUACCCGAAUAAGAAGGUCCGGCUAACUUCGUGCCAGCAGCCGCGGUAAUACGAAGGGACCUAGCGUAGUUCGGAAUUACUGGGCUUAAAGAGUUCGUAGGUGGUUGAAAAAGUUAGUGGUGAAAUCCCAGAGCUUAACUCUGGAACUGCCAUUAAAACUUUUCAGCUAGAGUAUGAUAGAGGAAAGCAGAAUUUCUAGUGUAGAGGUGAAAUUCGUAGAUAUUAGAAAGAAUACCAAUUGCGAAGGCAGCUUUCUGGAUCAUUACUGACACUGAGGAACGAAAAGCAUGGGUAGCGAAGAGGAUUAGAUACCCUCGUAGUCCAUGCCGUAAACGAUGUGUGUUAGACGUUGGAAAUUUAUUUUCAGUGUCGCAGGGAAACCGAUAAACACACCGCCUGGGGAGUACGACCGCAAGGUUAAAACUCAAAUGAAUUGACGGGGACCCGCACAAGUAGUGGAGCAUGUGGUUUAAUUCGAAGAUACGCGCAGAACCUUACCAACACUUGACAUGUUCGUCGCGACUCUAAGAGAUUAGAGUUUUCGGUUCGGCCGGACGAAACACAGGUGCUGCAUGGCUGUCGUCAGCUCGUGUCGUGAGAUGUUGGGUUAAGUCCCGCAACGAGCGCAACCCUCACUUUUAGUUGCCAUCAUUAAGUUGGGCACUCUGAAAGAACUGCCAGUGAUAAGCUGGAGGAAGGUGGGGAUGACGUCAAGUCCUCAUGGCCCUUACGUGUUGGGCUACACACGUGCUACAAUGGUAUCUACAACAGGAAGCAAGACUGCGAAGUUAAGCAAAUCCCUAAAAGAUACCUCAGUUCGGAUUGCACUCUGCAACUCGAGUGCAUGAAGCUGGAAUUACUAGUAAUCGUGGAUCAGCGUGCCACGGUGAAUGCGUUCCCGGGUCUUGUACACACCGCCCGUCACACCAUGGGAGUUGGUUCUACCUUAAGGCAAGGUUUCAAACCCUUGACCACGGUAUAGUCAGCGACUGGGGUGAAGU
This 1421-nucleotide ribosomal RNA is filed under the name uncultured marine bacterium. RNAcentral describes it as "bacterial SSU rRNA". It matches the Rfam family "Bacterial small subunit ribosomal RNA". The record is from RNAcentral.